RNAcentral lists this ribosomal RNA (1981 nucleotides) under human gut metagenome. RNAcentral's name for it is "bacterial LSU rRNA". It matches the Rfam family "Bacterial large subunit ribosomal RNA", at positions 1 to 1980 of the family's 2925-position model. The record is from RNAcentral.
UUAAGAUACUAAGAGCAUACGGGGGAUGCCUUGGCGAUAUCUGCCGAAGAAGGACGUGACAAGCUGCGAAAAGCUGCGGAGAGAUGCAAAUAAUCUUAGACCCGCAGAUAUCCGAAUGGAGCAAUCCGGCUGUGGUUAUGCACAGUCAUCCAUACCAUUGAGUAUGAGAAGGGAACCGGACGAACUGAAACAUCUAAGUAAUCCGAGGAAGAGUAAUCAAACGAGAUACCCCAAGUAGCGGCGAGCGAACGGGGCAGAAGCCCAAACCGCGGAAGGAAACUUUUGCGGGGUAGAGGGCCAUCAAUAAAACAAGAACCUUUAGCUGAAUCUGUUGGGAAACAGAGCCGAAGACAGUGAAAGCCUGGUAAGCGAAAGAGGGACUUGCGGAGAUGGUACCGGAGUACUGCGGGACACGAGAAAUCCCGUAGGAAGCAGGGGGGACCACCCUCCAAGGCAAAACACAGAUAUCGACCGAUAGCGAAUAGUACCAUGAGGGAAAGGUGAAAAGCACCCCGGGAGGGGAAUGAAAAAGAACCUGAAACCGUAUGUUUACAAGCAGUCGAAGACCGCUUAAUAAUAAGGUCAACGGCGUGCCUAUUGAAGAAUGAACCGGCGAGUUAUGAGGUCUGGCGAGGUUAAGCAGGAAAUGCGGAGCCGAAGCGAAAGCGAGUCUUAAUAGGGCGAAAGUCGGAUUGCAUAGACCCGAAACCACAGUGAUCUACCCAUGUCCAGGUUGAAACACAGGUAAAAAUGUGUGGAGGACCGAACCUAUAUCCGUUGAAAAGGGUUAGGAUGAGGUGUGGGUAGGGGUGAAAUUCCAAUCGAACGUGGAGAUAGCUGGUUCUCCCCGAAAUAGCUUUAGGGCUAGCCUCAGGGAAGAGAUUACAGGCGGUAGAGCACUGAUCAGGGGCGGGACCUACCCGGUUACCAAACCUAGUCAAACUCCGAAUGGCUGUAAUUAUACCUGGGAGUCAGACUACGACUUAUAAGGGCCGUAGUCAAAAGGGAAACAGCCCAGACCAUCAGCUAAGGUCCCCAAUGCCGUGCUAAGUGGAGAAGGAUGUGGCAUUUCAUAAACAACCAGGAUGUUGGCUCAGAAGCAGCCACCAUUUAAAGAGUGCGUAAUAGCUCACUGGUCGAGAGACGCUGCGCCGAAAAUGUCCGGGGCUCAAGCACGGAACCGAAGCUAUGGCAGACGCAAGUCUGGGUAGGGGAGCGUUCUUAUGAGGAAGAAGCAUGACCGUAAGGACAUGUGGACACAUAAGAAGUGAGAAUGCCGGUAUGAGUAUCGAAAAGAAAGGUGAGAAUCCUUUCCACCGAAAGCCCGAGGGUUCCUGAGCAACGAUCGUCGACUCAGGGUAAGUCGGGACCUAAGCCGAGGCGAAAAGCAUAGGCGAUGGACAACAGGUUGAAAUUCCUGUACCGGAUAAAGUCGAUAUGAGCAAUGGAGUGACGCAGGAGGGUACAUGAUCGCGCGACUGGAAGAGCGCGUCCAAGUGAGUAUGUAGAUACAGAGGCAAAUCCCUGUAUCUGAAAGCAGAGACAUGAUGGGGAGUUAAAGGAAACUUUGACGAACUGAUGGAUCCCACACUGCCAAGAAAAACUUCUAGCCAGACAAUAUCCGCCCGUACCGUAAACCGACACAGGUAGGCGGGGAGAGAAUCCUAAGGUGCGCGGGAAAACCCUCGUUAAGGAACUCGGCAAAUUGCAUCCGUAACUUCGGGAGAAGGAUGACCCUGAGUAAAAGAAGAGCAGAAACGCUUAGAGGAGAAAAGGGUGGCAGAAAAGAGGCCCAAGCAACUGUUUACCAAAAACACAGGUGCCUGCGAAAGCGAAAGCUGAAGUAUAGGUGCUGACGCCUGCCCGGUGCCGGAAGGUUAAGGAGAGAGGUCAGCUAAGGCGAAGCUUCGAACUGAAGCCCCGGUGAACGGCGGCCGUAACUAUAACGGUCCUAAGGUAGCGAAAUUCCUUGUCGGGUAAG